This 217-nucleotide long non-coding RNA is filed under the name Mytilus galloprovincialis (Mediterranean mussel). Lineage: Eukaryota; Metazoa; Mollusca; Bivalvia; Mytilida; Mytilidae. The record is from RNAcentral.
GUCCACUGAGUAGCAUCGCAUGUUCUUAGAAUAUAUUUCUCGCACAAUUCUGGACAUCGGUGGACAUGCAACAUUGCAAAACCACGUUUACAAAUGAAAAUCAACAUUCAGACUAUAGUCAUAAAGUAGGACAAUAAAUGAACAAAAGACAAACCCGGAACACAGAAGUACAAACAAUAGACCAUCAACUCUGAAAACUAAAAGAAAGAUAAAAACA